UAUUAAAAAAUUAUAGAAAUUAUUAAAAUUAUAAAUAAAAAAACUAAUUAAAGAUAUAAAAAAUAAUCCGAAAUUUUACUAUUUUUGAAUACUUUCAACUAAUAUUUUACUAUUAUCCGAAAUUAAAAAUAAAGUUAUCUUCUAUUAUUUUAUAAAAUAAAAAAUACUAGUACUUUCGUAAGAACUGUUUGGGCUAUUCAAUUUAGGGGUGAAAAUGCAAUUUGGCAGUUACUGUUCAUUGCAGGCAGUUACUGUUCAUUUAAAGAGAUUGAGUUGCAUAUUGCCCAGGGUGCCUUUCUACAUUGAAAGUGCUUUAAGGCCAUUUCCAACCGAAAGGGCAAACUAUAACCUUGUCCAGGAUUAUAGCCCUGCAAAAAAAUUAUUUUUAAAUGAACAAUGUUAGGCUAUAUUUCUAUACCAUCUCCAAGCGAAGGGCCUAAACAUAGCCUUCUUAAUAAUUGAUUAGUUUUUAGUUUAUACUUUAAAUUUAUUGGUUAAUUCAAUUAAACUACCUUUGAUUGUUUUCAAAUCUAGCCGUCGAAUUCGAAUAAUUUAUUGCAACUGAGGAGCUAGACCCCAACAAAGGGCUAAGAGGUGGGCUAUAUUUGGUCAGCAUGAUGUCCCUUUGGCCAAUAAUGGCUUGGUGGGCUCCAUAGAAUUUUAGCCCAUCUAUAAGUUGGAGAUGAGUUUAUGGACAAAUUAGGCCAUUUUUUGGCUUUUAGACCUUUAGUCAUCUCCAUUGGCUUUUGG
RNAcentral lists this long non-coding RNA (750 nucleotides) under Malus domestica (apple). Its description in RNAcentral is "long non-coding RNA (MDOM_LNC004377)". The record is from RNAcentral. Lineage: Eukaryota; Viridiplantae; Streptophyta; Magnoliopsida; Rosales; Rosaceae.